UUGGAAUCAGUGUUUUUAAACCCGUACACUAAAGAACAACCUUACCGGAUCGCUGGAUCACAGUGUUUUCAUUCGUUUAUCAUUCUCAAAUUAUAAACCAAAAUAACUAAUUUUAUUAAAAAUAAUGUACUAGUGUACAUGAUUAUUUAAAAUAUUAAACAAUAUAAUAUAAAAUAUUUUUUACAUAAUUAAUUAAAUACAUAUUUCCAAUAAUUUAAAUUUAAGUACACAUGCAAGUACCAAAUUUAGUAAUAUAUAAAUUACUGAUACAAAUGAUAUUAAAAUGUAAUCUAUUCUCUAAUCUAAAACUUCAGUUCAAAACUAAGAAAAUAAGUAUAUUAUAAGAAAAAUACGAUACAAAUGACAAUCAAUUAUAUGAAAAUGUUAGUUAAUUACAUUCACACUAUAUUUUUGAAACUAUAAUAAUAUAUAAUUAAUUAUAUGGUAAAUGCUAAAAAUAUCACUAAUUAUGAAAAUAGUAUUUACUUAAAAAAUAAAAAUAAACACCCGCUCGAGUGAGCGGAUCAAGCUCUAGUUUUUUUAUUUUAAAACUUAACUAAUUACUAACCUAGUUAAGAUUAAAAUGACGAGAUUAGAAAGUCUAAACUAGAAAUAAAUCUCUCUCACUCUCUUUGUUGACUCUGUUUCCCUCUUUUUUCAGAAAUGGAUUACAGAUAAAAAGAGGAGACAAGGACGAGAAAGUCACUUUGUUGUUUGCAACAAACAUUUUCACAAAAGCCUCCCACUCAGCCAUGAUGUCUAAAGGUGGGAGCAUUUCCUGCCAAUUUGAUGUCUGCAUUCUCCGAAGAUUAUGUGAAAAUUAAGGUGUCACUGGCAGGAAAUGCUCCAAAAUGCAGACAUUAAACAAACCAAAAAAAGCCGACAUAUCUACCCCUAAUUUUCACAUAACCUUUCCAUUUAGACCCAUGAAUUUCAAAUUCAUUAUACGAUCACAUCUAUUCACAAAAAUAUUUUCCAGUAAAGAGAUGAAAGAAAAUCUUAAUAAUAACUUACACGGUCGACAGUCAAUUACUAGAAACAAAGCAAUGAUUACAGACUUAUAGCCUCCAAAACUAUAAAUGGGGAAUUAUUCUUUCCUCUACUAGUUAUUUUUUUUUGUAAGAAUUAGGAAUAUUGCUUAUAGAUCAUGAGAGUUUCGGAGAAUUCAGAAUAUAACAAGAUCAUGAACAUGGUCCUCGAAGAAAGCAAUAGGACAAUGAAACAUUCAACAAGCCCGAUGAUUGUUUGGGAUUUGCAAAAUGAUAAUAUUCUCUUCAUAGAAUUAUAAAGUAUAUUUUAUUAAUUAUUGAAUAACUCAUUAGAAAGAUAACACAAAGAUUAUAGAGUAGAUCCCGGGAACUUUUUAGCACAUAUGGCUUUGAGGAUUAAUGUAUUCAAAGCUCUCGUAGGAUAGACAAUCAAGAGGCAUUCAGGAAGUGCUUUCACUGCUUGGCAACACUCUCUUGUUAGCAAUCUGGUAUCACUGCCAGACGCUAAUUUCACAGCCUCGAAACAUCCAGCCACUGUAUCUAAAGCCGUUUUCUUGGGACAUAAUAACGUCGUAUUCGGCUGAACAUUUUGGACUCCCAAUAUUUGGACGACCAAUGCUGAGAUUACAGCUAACAAGAAAAACAUGACAUUUAUUUGUUUAGGUUUCAUUAUUGACAAGAUUAAAAAAAAUAAUUGAUUUUGUAGGUUUGGAUUGUGUAAGAGCUGAAGAGACCUUUGAUUCGGGUAGAUAAAUAGCAGUGAAAUGAGUUCAAGUACUAGUCUUCGGUCAAACAAAAGAAAAGAUAAGUUUAGAAAGAUUGACUAUAAGAAACCAAAUAUUGGGAAAGUUUACUAGUUUGUUUGACCGACGUGCAAUUAAUUAUUUGAUGAAAUUGUAUACUCUGCUUUUUCCUUGUGGAAUACAAGGAAACAAUUGACUAUUAAGAUCAUUUCCUUCUUCAAUCCAUACUACUGAGUAGUCCUGGGCAUUCAUAUUUUGAGUUAAAAAGGUUGGGUUUUUCGGUUUUUGGUUUGUUCAGUUUCGAAUUAUCACACUGAGUUAACCGAAGUAAGCUUUGGUUUGGGUCGGUUUUCAAAUUCGGCUAUUUAUUUCGUUUGGUUAUUAUUGUUGAAAAAACAAAAAUCAAUCAGAUAUAAUCAGUUAUUUUUGGUUUGUUCGAUUAUUCCCAAUUUGUUCAAAUAAUUUCUAUUUUUCGGUUAUAAUUAGUCUUUUGGUUAUAUUUGGUUUGAUAAUGUUAAUACAAAUAUAAAAACUUCAGUGUACAUGAGCGAUUUAGAAAACAUCCAUAAUGUCAAUACAAAUAAACAAGGAAUGAAGAGGUUGUGAAAGAAAAAAAACAAACGCCAUCUCUCUUCUCCCGAAAAACAAACAUCACGUCUUUUUCUUAACACCAAAAAAAACAGCAUCUCUCUGUUUAUUCAGGACUUCCUUAGCUUCACUUCACAAACCCCAUCAUUUUAGUCAGUAAGAAUUAGAACUAGUGAAACAUCAUAUCCUUAUCUUCAAUAAUCAAUGACACAAAUUUGAGAACGAAAAUCCAAAAUAAACAACAUAACUACUCAUCACACAUAGAAAAAUAAAAUUUAAAACAUAGAAUGAAUGUAAGCACCCCAAACCAACAAAAUUCAGUACCUUUCACUAAGCCUCACUUGGUCCUGCCUGUGAAUUCCGAGAAUCUAUAAAAGAAACGAAAACAUCAUUAGUUAAGACUUUUAGAGUUUAACAUACCAUUCGACAUAAGAGAAUAGAGUUUGUUGGAAGACUUACCAAGUUACUCAAAAAAAGUUAACUUCUUUUAACAUUUGAGCCAAGUUCGCAACUGAUAGUUGAGACUAAUUUGAAGAUUGUAUCCAUUUUUGUGUGCAUAUUAAAGACUCGAUCAUAUAAGGAGUCAAAUAACUCCUAAAAGGAUCCAUAAUUCUUCCACAAGUGCUAAACGCCAAUUCAAAAGCAACUGAAGAAACUUGAACUAUGAGAACAUCUUUGGCAAGUUCAGACAAUAUAGUAAAUUUUCCAUUAUUCUGCUUUCACCAAGACAAAAAAAAACAUCUUAGUCUAAGCCCAAACUGUUUUCCUAUCUUGGCUCAGUUUUCUCUAUCAGAUAGAUUUGUCUAACUCACUGCCAUAUUCACUUCUCUUCUCGCUAACCAUCUUACUGUAAGGAUCAGAGAAUCAAUCCUCUCAUAACCAUCAUCAUCAUCUGAUCACAUCAACAGACUUCCUACAAUCUCCAUUAUCACUUGUGUCUUCUGCUGCAUCAAUAUGAUCUGGUUGUCUAAACCGGAUACUAUAUUCUUCAUACACUUUCUUCAACAUCUUUGUCACUGAAGCACAAAUAUUUCUACAUUUUAUAUUUCUACAAAGAAACAAACUCCAUCUUUUUCUUGAAACAAAAGCACUACCAACAAUCAUGAGUGGAUUUAUAUUCAUCAAACCAUCCCAAUAUUUCUCAAACUUUUCCCUCAUAAUAUGUGCUUGCUUCUUGAUUUCCAUAUUACAAUUGCUGCAUUUCGAUAUCAGAUUCAUCUCUAUUGUAACAAUUUAACAAAGGGAAGAAGUUAUCGACUUGGAAGCUGAAAACAUUAGAGUACAGUUGAAAAAGAUCUUUAGAAUUUUUUUUGUUUGGGUAAAAUCGGUUAUGCAAAAAUCAACAGUUAAAAUCCUCUAAAAAACUGUGUCUUAAGAAAAUAUGAGCCGAAGAAACUACACAGCAUAGGCGAAGCUCAUUUGAAUAAGGUUAAAGAGAAAACUCUGUAUAUUUCAUCCUGGACAAGAAAUAAAAGAACUCCUAUCAAAACAUGAGAUACUCGGAAAACGUUCUUUCCGAAGUUUUUUUUCGUGGAAUGACGAGUUUUAUGAAAUUAUCUUCCAUAAAACAAAAUUCGGAAAGAUUCUGUGGAAAAACUCUCGUAAAGAAAAUCUACGAGAUAAUCUUUCGCAGAAAUGAAAGUCAUGAGAAAUUUGUGUUAGCUUUAGAGAACAUAUGACAUUGGUGAUUAGACUCAUAAGUUUAGACUUAAAGUAUUUCACUUUGUUCUAUUUUCCAUUGUUAACGAAUUUCCUUACAAUCGUUUUGGUGUAAUUUUGUCUUGAUUUGUUUUUGUCACAAUGAAUAAAACCCCACUAUGGAACUUCAUCUCUUUUACUGUUUUUUUUUUCUCGUGUUUGUGUGGUUACAUAGAGAAUCCGGACCUUCAAAGAAAGCGACGCUUUCUUCUAUUGCAAAUGUCGAUUGUACUUUGGUUUCAAUACCUCUUCAAUAAAAUUUAUUUUGGUCAUUUAAACUCUUGGAAACUAUUUUGUAAUAAUUGUUUUUUAUAUAUAUCAUAUCUAUCCUAUACUAAAAGGAAGAUAUAGAGUGAUUUAAGCCUAUCCACGUAAGCAAAUAUAAUCAUCCAAUGAAAAAUCAAUUUCAUGCCAUGUCACCGAAUUGUUGCGUCCAAUUGAUUUGGACCCAAAUAUGUUGACCCAAUUCGACAAGCCCAUCUCUUGGUUCAAGAACGGAGAUAGAGAUUACCGACUCUUCACCUUCAUCGUCCUUAUUGUCUCUGCAACGCCAAAGACGUUCACGUUCCGACUCCAGUCAUUUCUCUCUUCAUGCAAACUCAAUCGCCCAAAUAUAGCUUCAACCACACCAAACGAUUACGACGAAAUCCGAAAACCCAGACGGCAAGGCUCCGCUGAGCCGGCGAAUCUCACCAGGCUGAGUUACGCUUCCUUUUAAAAGACAAUUGUUCAGCCUCAGGGAUGCUAUCGGAGCUGUGAUUGAAGAUCUGGGUUUGAAUGGUAAGCUUAAGGAUCAGAGAUUAGGGUAUUCAGCUAAACUAACAAUCUCCUACAAACGAUCACUUGGGCAGAGAAAGUGUUUCUCUUCAGAUGGAAACGUUGAAGAAGAACCCAAUAGCAUCUACUGUCUACUAUCUAUACGUUCCAUAUUGUUCCAGAUCUUCAACUCUAGCAAACCAUGUUCAAAUUUGGUCAUCAGUGGGUUAAUAGCGAAAGGAAGAUAUCCAAUAGUGUGUUAAUGCAAGUGGAAGCCAUUUACUUAUGGAUGCAUCAGGGAAGGUUGACUGUAACAGUGUUAUGGUCCGUCCAGGGGACCAAAAAUUUGAAAGCUUGAUGAGAAGUAUGGGGGAAACAUACUGAAACGAGGGGAAACAUACUGAAACAAGUUCAGCGGUUGGGUUAGGUUCAAUGUUCCUAUCUCUCAUUGCAUCACAUACAUGUAUAAAAAUAUUCUCUAGAUUACUUGGAAGAUAAAUUAUUUGGAUUACCACAUUACUUGUGUAGUCUGUUUUGUUUUGAGAACUUUAAAUUACCACAAACAUUUCGCUGGAUUUAUUUGUUUUGCGCAAACCUGUGAACAGCUGUGACUUCUUUUGAUGCCGUCAAGAUUCGACCCAUGUAGUUUAAAUCAGUUAUACGCAUUGAGAUAUAGAACCAUUUCAGUCGUUCAUGCUACCAGAGGACUCAGAGAUGCGAUUGAGAAUUUCAAUCAUUAUUCAGAAGUUGGAGCUGGUGCUGGACAGAGUUACCUACCUUUGUGAAGUCUAUGCGUCCAAACUGACAACAAACUGCAGAAGUUAGCUUAGUGAGAUAUUGUGGUCAAAAGUAUCUAGAAACAAAAUCACCAAUCACUAAGAAGCAACACUAGAUUCUGAAGGAAGAUGUUAGGGAUUACUCUCGAUGUAAAGAAAAACAUGAUAAUUGAGGUUAGUAGAUGAAACAAUUUGUACUCAUCACUAUUGUAUUCUUUAUGCGGGUUGAUAUCGUUAAUUUUGAAGUAUCUCAAGAAACGAACACACCAAAAAGGUCUUUUAUGUCUACUCUUUAUACAGUUUUUCUGUUUGUGGCUCAGAGAUAAUCAAAGCUAUGUAUCAUGAACAGAGAAGAGUUGAAGAUUUUCUGGAAGGUGGGGCGUUUUGGGUUUGAGUUUAUCUUACGUCUGAUGGUUUACUGUAUUCGAUCUUCAUGAUGUCUAAACUGAAGACAUGUGUCCUGCAAGCAUUACAAAGAGAGCGAAAACUUUAAAGCUAACGACACCAUGGCAGACACAAAACAGAGUUGGGACUGUAUCUGUACAACAGAGGCCUAAUUUAGCCAAAUAAAAUUAAAAGCAUGGAAUAUACUCUCAUUACUCCAAAUAUAAGCCAAAAAUAUAAAAAAACAUAUAGCAAGAUAAAAUAUACAUAAAACGGAAUCACAAAGAUAUAUAUAUAUUUUUUUUGAAACACUCACAAAGAUAUUAUAUCAAUCAUAAAUAUCCUGUUAGAUAAUUAUUGUGACAUACAAUAACUUACAUAUUCCAUAGAAAUUCAGUGUCGAAAAAAAAUGAAAAACGAAAAACUGGAGUUUGAACUAAUAUGUGAAAUCAUUUUUACCUUCCCCAAUACUACCAUUAGAUGAAUAUAUAAAAAUACACAACAAAGGAAAAAAAUUAAACCAAACUUAGAUAAUCAAAACAUUAAAGACAAAAAAUUAACAAACAAACAUACUUUUAGUCCAAAACAACGUACUUAAUUUAAAGAAAAUAAAGUACAUAAAUUUUUAAAUAAAUUUUAUCAUUUCAAUGUAACUAAAAACAAUUUUCAGUUACUUAAUAACCAAUUCAACUAAUACACUUCAAAAAUUAAACAUUAUUCAUAUUAGCGAAAUAUUUAUAAGUUAUAAAAAAUAAACAUCUCCGUUGAAGUAAACGUAAGAGGAACAUUUCGAGGAUGAUUGGUAGCUGCUCUAGGUUCUGUAGACAGCAACAAUACUUCACAGCCAUAAAAAUUUGCCAAUCAAACUUUACUUUAUCUUUUUUAAACCUACAGCUGAGUUUCAUUUCUUUAUUUAAUUUUGCUGUAGACGGCACUUUAUCGACAGUUUAGAAACGAAGCUUUAUAAAAUUUUAAAAGAUCUGGUGAGUUUUAUAACAUAUAAUUAAUGUUUAUUAAUUAGAUUUUCUUUUAAGAAAGCAAAGCAAAAACUUUACAUCCACGUCAAAAAUUAUACAGCUUAAAUUCUGAAGCAGAAAAAUAAAAGUUACAGCCUCAAACAAUUAAACCCGAAAGAAAAUCGUCUUCCUCUCCCAACAGUCCAUUCAUGUUCUGUAGUCUUCAAUAGCUCCCAUCAAGAUUAGAUGAGUGGUCCAAUUCGGUAAAAUACUCUCAGACGGGAGUUUUUGGCAAAUAAACAAAUAAAUAAUUAAUAUUUUAUAUUUUAAUACUCAAAAAAAAAUGUUCAUCGAAAUUUAAUAAACAUAUACGGAAAACCCGGGCGUAGCCCGGAAAAAAUCUCUAGUUUCUCUAAAAUAAACUCAAUCCCUAUCCACACACUAUUAAAAAACAUCGAUAGACCCGCAUCCACUCUUAGCAGCGGGUCAAACAGGAUGAGUGCUUCUGAUUAAAAUUCUCAGCUCUAGCUAUCAGCCAUAUUUUGAUAAAUCAAAGUUAAGAGUGGACACAAAUCUGAAAUGGCUCAAGUGAUGGGUAAAUAAUCUCUUACAAAUACGUUUAAUUUCUGAGGACCAAAGCCUGUUGAAAUUACAAUUGUACCAUUAAUGACUCUUUCCCUCCAGUCAGUGACAUGAUUUCUUCCACUAUAUUUCAAUUUGACAAUCAAUCUCUCCUCAAAUGUAACCCAUAAUUUUGAAGACAUGAUAUCCACUAUGGAUUCAAAGCUAUGGUCAGCCCAAACGUUUUGAAGGUCGUCAAUGGGAAGCAUAUUAAUCACAUUAUGGGUCUGAGCAUAUUCAUUAAUAAAAAAGGCCACAAUGUUUUGGCACUUGUAGAAAAACCUCUGGGUUUUCCACUUUAAUAGGACAAUCUUUAGUUUUUUUUCCAAAGAAGCAAAACCUAACGGAGCUUUGUCCAAUUGAAGAAAGAGCAACUGUCAACAGAAGAGGACCGACCACCGGCCACUAGAGCUCUGACGACCAUUGUACCAUCUCAUCGAGCAGGAUAUCUCGUCGUGUUUCGAUCUCUUUUUGUCAUUUUCUUGAGUAUUUUGCUCUUGUUCUUCUAGAUCCAUCCAUUGAUGAAGAUAAGAAAAUUCUAAACAUUUAUAUUCUCUCUUGCCUAUUUCUUCUUCUUCUAGAUCUCUGAUCUCAGAUUUGGGUGGAAACCAAUCCUUGUUCUUAUCGAUCUGGUUCACAGGGAGACACUUAAGGCAUACACGCCGAUGAAGGCAUCACCAACUUACGUGGGGAAAGAUGUCUCAGUUUAUUUAGUGCUCAGCUCGAACAUGAAGAGCAUCCAAGCAAUGAGAUGACUAAGUGAUAAUAAAGUUCACCACCACUUAAUAUAUUCAUAAGCAUUAAGUAUUUUGUAUAAUUUCAAAAUUAAAUAAUAAAAACAAUGAAAGCUGGUAGAAUACUUA
This is a long non-coding RNA of Brassica napus (rape), 8374 nucleotides long. RefSeq lists it as uncharacterized. Lineage: Eukaryota; Viridiplantae; Streptophyta; Magnoliopsida; Brassicales; Brassicaceae. The record is from RefSeq and is a predicted model, not a curated record. The transcript is spliced from 6 exons.